AUACGGAGGAUGCGAGCGUUAUCCGGAUUUAUUGGGUUUAAAGGGAGCGUAGGUGGAAUAUUAAGUCAGCUGUGAAAGUUUGCGGCUCAACCGUAAAAUUGCAGUUGAUACUGGUCGUCUUGAGUGCAGUAGAGGUAGGCGGAGUUCGUGGUGUAGCGGUGAAAUGCUUAGAUAUCACGAAGAACUCCGAUUGCGAAGGCAGCUUACUGGACUGUAACUGACGCUGAUGCUCGAAAGUGUGGGUAUCAAACAGGAUUAGAUACCCUGGUAGUCCACACAGUAAACGAUGAAUACUCGCUGUUUGCGAUAUACGGCAAGCGGCCAAGCGAAAGCAUUAAGUAUUCCACCUGGGGAGUACGCCGGCAACGGUGAAACUCAAAUGAAUUGACGGGG
Molecule: ribosomal RNA, 393 nt
Filed under: uncultured bacterium
Lineage: Bacteria
Description: partial 16S ribosomal RNA
Rfam family: Bacterial small subunit ribosomal RNA
Source: RNAcentral